This 854-nucleotide ribosomal RNA is filed under the name uncultured Gammaproteobacteria bacterium. Its description in RNAcentral is "bacterial SSU rRNA". It matches the Rfam family "Bacterial small subunit ribosomal RNA", at positions 65 to 916 of the family's 1533-position model. Lineage: Bacteria; Pseudomonadati; Pseudomonadota; Gammaproteobacteria. The record is from RNAcentral.
AACGAUGGAAGCUUGCUUCCAAGCGUCGAGUGGCGGACGGGUGAGUAAUACUUAGGAAUCUGCCCAUUAGUGGGGGACAACAUUCGGAAACGGAUGCUAAUACCGCAUACGCCCUACGGGGGAAAGCGGGGGAUCUUCGGACCUCGCGCUAAUGGAUGAGCCUAAGUCGGAUUAGCUAGUUGGUGAGGUAAAGGCUCACCAAGGCGACGAUCCGUAGCUGGUCUGAGAGGACGAUCAGCCACACUGGGACUGAGACACGGCCCAGACUCCUACGGGAGGCAGCAGUGGGGAAUAUUGGACAAUGGGGGAAACCCUGAUCCAGCAAUGCCGCGUGUGUGAAGAAGGCCUGCGGGUUGUAAAGCACUUUCAGUAGAGAAGAAAAGCCUACGGUUAAUAACCGUGAGUCUUGACGUUACCUACAGAAGAAGCUCCGGCUAGCUCCGUGCCAGCAGCCGCGGUAAUACGGAGGGAGCGAGCGUUAAUCGGAAUUACUGGGCGUAAAGCGCGCGUAGGCGGCUUUGUAAGUCGGAUGUGAAAGCCCUGGGCUCAACCUGGGAAUUGCAUUCGAUACUGCAUGGCUAGAGUAUGGUAGAGGGAAGUGGAAUUUCCGGUGUAGCGGUGAAAUGCGUAGAUAUCGGAAGGAACACCAGUGGCGAAGGCGACUUCCUGGGCCAAUACUGACGCUGAGGUGCGAAAGCGUGGGGGGCAAACAGGAUUAGAUACCCUGGUAGUCCACGCCGUAAACGAUGAGAACUAGAUGUCGGGGGAAAUUGUCCUUCGGUGUCGCAGCUAACGCGUUAAGUUCUCCGCCUGGGGAGUACGCCGGCAACGGUAAAACUCAAAUGAAUUGACGG